AUACGGAGGAUGCGAGCGUUAUCCGGAUUUAUUGGGUUUAAAGGGUGCGUAGGCGGAAAGUUAAGUCAGCGGUGAAACGCAGGUGCUCAACACCUGACCUGCCGUUGAGACUGGUUUUCUAGAAUGCGGAUGCUGUGGGCGGAAUGUGUGGUGUAGCGGUGAAAUGCAUAGAUAUCACACAGAACACCGAUUGCGAAGGCAUCUCACAAAUCCGCGAUUGACGCUGAGGCACGAAGGUGCGGGGAUCGAACAGGAUUAGAUACCCUGGUAGUCCGCACAGUAAACGAUGAUAACUCGCUGUCGGCGAUAGACAGUCGGUGGCCAAGCGAAAGCGAUAAGUUAUCCACCUGGGGAGUACGACCGCAAGGUUGAAACUCAAAGGAAUUGACGGGG
This 393-nucleotide ribosomal RNA is filed under the name uncultured bacterium. RNAcentral describes it as "partial 16S ribosomal RNA". It matches the Rfam family "Bacterial small subunit ribosomal RNA", at positions 523 to 918 of the family's 1533-position model. The record is from RNAcentral.